CCUACGGGAGGCAGCAGUGGGGAAUAUUGGGCAAUGGAGGAAACUCUGACCCAGCAACGCCGCGUGAAUGAUGAAGGUCUUCGGAUUGUAAAGUUCUUUUCUACGGGAAGAAGAAAGUGACGGUACCUUACUAAGAAGCCCCGGCUAACUACGGGCCAGCAGCCGCGGGAAUACGUAGGCGGCAAGCGUUAUCCGGAUUUACUGGGUGUAAAGGGAGCUUAGACGGCGAUGCAAGUCUGAAGUGAAAGGCGGGGGCCCAACCUCCGGACUGCUGUUGAAACUGUAUGGCUAGAGUGCAGGAGAGGUAAGUGGAAUGCGUAGUGGAGCGGUGAAAUGCGUAGAUAUUAGGAGGAACACCAGUGGCGAAGGCGGCUUACUGGACUGUAACUGACGUUGAGGCUCGAAAGCGUGGGGAGCGAACAGGAUUAGAUACCCGAGUAGUC
This 443-nucleotide ribosomal RNA is filed under the name uncultured bacterium. Its description in RNAcentral is "partial 16S ribosomal RNA". It matches the Rfam family "Bacterial small subunit ribosomal RNA", at positions 338 to 795 of the family's 1533-position model. The record is from RNAcentral.